ACCGCGCGGGAGGGGCGGGGCCUGCCGCCGCCACCGCCUCAGGGAAGAGGAAGGAGGCCGCGGCUUCGCGUCCCGCCUCUCGCCUGGCUGGCCGUGGGGGGCCUGGACGCAGUGGCCUCCCGAAUCUCCCAGGACCCUAAUAUCGCCCGAGGAUGCUGGGAGGAACGCUGAGCCGACCUCUCCGUUAGGCUGAAGAUUGCACAAACCAUGCUAAUGGCCAGCAUGGAUGGAGGGAGCGUGUGAGAUGUGUGGGGCAGCGUGCUGCAUCUCAGCCAACUCCAGGAGGCCAAGCUAUAAAUAAAGGGUGGACUGACCUUGUCAACUGUUAAAUUGGAGCCGUGGUGCGUUGCCUAGAACAUUGCGGAUGACCCCGAGCAGCACAGCAGAUCAACGGCUGAGAAAGAGCUCAUUCAGCUCAUCUAACUAGGAUGCUGUCCUGCCAGAGCCCUGGGGGUUCUCGUCUCCUGGGGCAAAAGCAGCAUGCAACCCUUAUGAACCCAUCUUGGAAGGCAUUCGGGGAGCCCAAGACAAGACCAUUGGGAGCCUCAGGGUCACUUGUGGGGGUCUCUGUGCUGGACGGCUGUACCUCUCAUGAAAUGGACAACUGACCAUAAGAAGGAGUGCCCUCUGCUGACAGAGCUGAGCAUUGUGUCAGGAGAAUAUCAACAGGGACCAGCUCCAGCAUUGCAAGACAGGCAAAGAAGAGUGUGUUUGGAGCCAAAGUGACACCUGCCACAAGCUGGGCACUGCUGUCUAUAGGACCUCAUACUCCACUGUAAGGACUUUUACAAGAGCAAGAGGGCUUCGAGCAGAAGAAUGACACAACCUUAUUCAUACUUUCAGCAGGAUGAUUCUGGUUCCCGAGCUGAGAAUGGACCAGAGGAAGGCAAGGUGGAAGCUGGUGAGGAGGCUGUUGUGUUAAUAUUGCAAUAAGAAUUUAGCAGGCUGUUUAGCAUUUAUGUAAUAAAGAUAUUCCUAUGGGACUGUUACGAUAUCUUACCUAACCAUCACUGCUAACUCUAAGUCUAAAUAAGAAAUAAGUAUUUUUUAAAGAACAUUAAAAAAAUCAAUCACCACAAAAUACAUGCCGACUUUCAUAGUAGGUGAUUAUGAUUAUAUUGCAAUAUAAACUCAAAGUAAACCAAAUCAAACAGACAUUUGGUGUUUUGAUUUUUUUGGCAAAGUGAUUUCUUAACAUCUCUAUUUUGAAAAUUAUUGAAUCUUUUUGAUUAGUAAUACAUUCACAUCGUUUUCAAAAUAAAACAAAGAUAUGCAAAAGUAUUCAGUAAAAAGUCUUUCUUCUGCCUUUAUCCACUAUGUGUCCUGUUCCCAUAAAACUUUUGUUUGCCAGUGGUUUGGAUAAAGAAAAUGUGGUACAGGCCGGGUGUGGUGGCUCAUGCCUGUAAUCCCAGCACUUUGGGAGGCUAAGGCAGGCAGAUCACUUAAGGUCAGGAGUUUGAGACCAGCCUGGCCGACAUGGUGAAACCCCAACUCUUCUGAAAACACAAAAAUUAGCUGGACAUGGUGGCAGAUGCCUGUAAUCCCAGCUACUAGGAAGGCUGAGGCACAAGAAUCAAUUGAACCUGGGAUGCAGAGAUUGCGGUGAGCCAAGAUUGAGCCACUACACUCCAGUCUGGGCGAUAGAGCAAGACUCAAUCUCAAGAAAAAAAAAAAAGAAAGAAAAUAUGGUACAUGCACACCAUGGAAUGCUAUGCAGCCAUAAAAAAGAAUGAGAUCAUGUACUUUGCAGUAUCAUGGAAGCAGUGGAGGCCAUAUCCUAAGCAAAUUAAUGCAGAAACAGAAAACCAAAUAUAGCAUAUCCUCACUUAUAUGUGGGAGCUAAACGUGGGGUUAAUAAAUACUGGCAAUUCCAAAAGAGGGGAUGAAAGGAGGGGAAGGGUUGGAAAACUACCUAUUGAGUACUAUGUUCACUACUUGGGUGACUGAAUCAUGAGUCCAAAUCUCAGAAUCAAACAAUAUGCCCUUGUAACAAACCUGCACAUGUACCCCCUGAAUCUAAAUUUAAAAAUAAAAACUUUUAAUUUUUUUUGUAUCUCUUUCCAGAGUUUUUAAGCAUAAGUGUUAGCAAACACAAAUAUAUAUUAUUAUCUCCCCUUUCGGUUUUACGCAAAAGGAACAUACUAUGCACAUACUUUUCUUCACCUUGCUUCUUCACAAAAUUUUGUAUCUGGAUAUAUUUCCAUAUCAUAGGUAUAGAGAGCCUCUUCAUUAAAAAAAACUGUAUGUACCAUACUGUAUU
Long non-coding RNA from Homo sapiens (human), 2260 nucleotides. Ensembl annotates it as GMDS divergent transcript. Its record names the gene GMDS-DT. Lineage: Eukaryota; Metazoa; Chordata; Mammalia; Primates; Hominidae. The record is from Ensembl.